This is a non-coding RNA of Paramuricea clavata, 629 nucleotides long. NCBI's taxonomy places the organism in Eukaryota, Metazoa, Cnidaria, Anthozoa, Malacalcyonacea, Plexauridae. The record is from the annotation of a GenBank genome assembly.
CUACGUUUCAGUUAAUUCGGUUGAAUUAUUUCCAAGAUAUUAGAUGUUCUUGUUUUGGUAAACAUUUACACUUGCAUUUGUUGCUGCGAUUUUAGGUGCGAUUUGCUUCAUCUGAUGGAUAUGAACGAGUGGAAGAAUUAUGAAUGUUGAGAUGGGGGUACAUAUAGCCUACUCGGAGCAUUAGAAGACGAAAAUCGCACCUAAAAUCGCAGCAAAAAUUGCAAGUGUAAACAGGCCUUUUGAAUACAUCAAUGUUUGCAUGUUUGCGUGGUGAUGAAAUGUGUGAAGGUACCACAAGUUCUAGAAUUAUUUUUUUAUAAGUUACACUACUAAUGCCAAUCAUGGGUCAGUUUACUGCACGGAAACGAUUAUACUGUCAAAAUAGUCAAAUAGAUUAGUAGAAUUUCAGAUUUUGACACGGUACUUGUUGCACUAAAUUCAUUUUCCUACAUUGUUAAAUUGUCGGGCAGUUAUAUUUUUGAUCACCAAAUAUAAUUGCAAAGAUACAAGCGGUUUCAUAAAGCUAACAGACACACUGGACAAAUGCACAUGUUCCAAUACAACAAAACGGAUUUCUUUCUAGUAACAUGUAAAAAUUUAUAUGUUUGAAUAAAAUUUAUUGCUUGCCG